Molecule: ribosomal RNA, 230 nt
Filed under: uncultured bacterium
Lineage: Bacteria
Description: partial 16S ribosomal RNA
Rfam family: Bacterial small subunit ribosomal RNA
Source: RNAcentral
AAAGGGAGCGUAGGCGGCGCGGUAAGUCGGAUGUGAAAUCCCGGGGCUCAACCCCGGAACUGCAUCUGAUACUGCCGUGCUAGAGUAAUGGAGGGGUAGCUGGAAUUCUCGGUGUAGCAGUGAAAUGCGUAGAUAUCGAGAGGAACACUCGUGGCGAAAGCGAGCUACUGGACAUUUACUGACGCUGAGGCUCGAAGGCUAGGGGAGCGAAAGGGAUUAGAUACCCUAGU